Leucoraja erinaceus (little skate) is the source of this 1252-nucleotide long non-coding RNA. RefSeq lists it as uncharacterized. NCBI's taxonomy places the organism in Eukaryota, Metazoa, Chordata, Chondrichthyes, Rajiformes, Rajidae. The record is from RefSeq and is a predicted model, not a curated record. The transcript is spliced from 3 exons.
UGAUUGGCCCGAUUGUUCAGCCAACCGCACCUACCCCCCCGCCUAACCAUCUUGACCUCACCUGCCUCAGGUACGUCAGGUGAAUGACUAAACUGACUUCGAAUGACUAGCAAAGAUCGGUAUUUCCUUUUUCUGAUACACAUCACUCCGGUCGACACAAAAAAGCUGAAGUAACUCAGCGGGCCAGGCAGCAUCUCUGGAUAGAAGCCAGCUGGUGACGUUUCAGGUCGAGACCCUUCCUGCAGGUUAAAUAUCUUACUGGAACAGCAUCAAAUACAAUUUGACACCGUGCCACGAAGGAAGAUAGGCCAAAUGUCUCAAGCUCGACCAAAGGAGGAAAGUAUUGUAGAAUUAAUAACUAGCCUCCUGCUCUUUUACCAGUUAACAUUUAUGUGGCAUCAUACGUGGCAUUAGGAACAUUUAUACCUGUGAGGAUAAUUUCUCUUUCUUACCUGUGUUAAAUCUCCUCAUGAUUUUGAACAGUUCUUUUGUAUCGCCUCUUAACCUUUUCUGCUUUUUGUCUUGAAUAAUUUUGUAAAUAUUUCAAAAAUAUCAUUCCAAAAUCUAUAAAGUAUUAUGCAGGAAACUAAGGAGUGUGUUAUAGUUGCCUUUUGGGCUAGACAUUUAUCACAAGUGGCGGAUAUAUUUGGAUAACAUUUGUUCAAUCUUGUUUUUGAAUAAUAUAAUCUAUGUACAAUUUUAAAUUGAAUUAGAUUAUGUCUUACAUUAAAUGAACAUUUGUGAAUAUAUAUCAGGUAUUUUUCCCAUUUAACCUUCGUAAUUUUUAUCAUUAGUUCCCGUUCCCACUCUUCUCUAAGUACCUCUGUCGAUGGUAGGUCUAUAUUUAGAAUACUAUUAUAUAAAUAUGAUAUUAAUUUUUGUGAGUCAGCUUCAAUAUUCAUUGCUUCUUCCAAUGUCAGGAGUUACUUUUUGAUAUCCUUGUAUAUAUUUUUUCACGAAAUCGCAAAUCUGAAGAUAUUUAAAAUAUUGGUUGUUUUUCAAUUUAAAUUUUAAUUGUAACUGUUGGAAUGAUAGUAGGUUUCCCAUUUCGUACAUAUCCCCGAUCUUUCUAAUUCCGAGACUUUCCCAUUGGUUAUAUGUCUUAUCAAUAAGAGAUGGUUUAAAUAAAGGGUUAUUCGCAAUUGGCAUUAACAGUGAACCUAAUACUAAAAUGAUUAUAUUUGGUGUAACUAUGGUUUUUCCGGUGGGCGCGCGCGGGCGCGACUCUCGUCAGCAGCGGCCUCUGCAGUCU